GCCUUCGUUGUGUAGUGGUCAGCACACUCGACACGUAACCCGAGAGGUCCGGGGUUCGAUUCCCGGCAAAGGCG
RNAcentral lists this transfer RNA (74 nucleotides) under Stegodyphus mimosarum. It matches the Rfam family "tRNA". From Rfam's summary of the family: Transfer RNA (tRNA) molecules are approximately 80 nucleotides in length. Their secondary structure includes four short double-helical elements and three loops (D, anti-codon, and T loops). The record is from Rfam by way of RNAcentral. Lineage: Eukaryota; Metazoa; Arthropoda; Arachnida; Araneae; Eresidae.